RNAcentral lists this ribosomal RNA (445 nucleotides) under uncultured Glomeromycotina. RNAcentral describes it as "SSU rRNA". It matches the Rfam family "Eukaryotic small subunit ribosomal RNA", at positions 569 to 1020 of the family's 1831-position model. Lineage: Eukaryota; Fungi; Glomeromycota. The record is from RNAcentral.
AGCAGCCGCGGUAAUUCCAGCUCCAAUAGCGUAUAUUAAAGUUGCUGCAGUUAAAAAGCUCGUAGUUGAAUUUCGGGAUCAAUAUGUUGGUCGUGCCUCGGUACGUACUAGCUUAUUGGUUUCUCCCUUCUGACGAACCAUGAUGUCAUUUAUUUGGUGUUAUGGGAAAUCAGGACUGUUACUUUGAAAAAAUUAGAGUGUUUAAAGCAGGCUCACGCUUGAAUACAUUAGCAUGGAAUAAUGAAAUAGGACGUUUGAUUCUAUUUUGUUGGUUUUCUAGGAUCGACGUAAUGAUUAAUAGGGAUAGUUGGGGGGCAUUAGUAUUCAAUUGUCAGAGGUGAAAUUCUUGGAUUUAUUGAAGACUAACUACUGCGAAAGCAUUUGCCAAGGAUGUUUUCAUUAAUCAAGACGAAAGUUAGGGAUCGAAGACGAUCAGAUACCGUCG